CCUACGGGCGGCAGCAGUGAGGAAUAUUGGUCAAUGGACGCAAGUCUGAACCAGCCAUGUCGCGUGCAGGAAGACGGCUCUAUGAGUUGUAAACUGCUUUUGUGCGGGGGUAAACGCAGACACGCGUAUCUGUUUGAAGUUAUCGCACGACUAAGGAUCGGCUAACUCCGUGCCAGCAGCCGCGGUAAUACGGAAGAUUCGAGCGUUAUCCGGAUUUAUUGGGUUUAAAGGGUGCGUAGGCGGUCGGAUAAGGUAGAUGUGAAAUCCCGAGGCUCAACUUCGGAACUGCCGCGGCUACUGGGCGGCUAGAGAGUAGUUGCGGUAGGCGGAAUGUAUGGUGUAGCGGUGAAAUGCUUAGAGAUCAUACAGAACACCGAUUGCGAAGGCAGCCUACC
Molecule: ribosomal RNA, 395 nt
Filed under: uncultured bacterium
Lineage: Bacteria
Description: partial 16S ribosomal RNA
Rfam family: Bacterial small subunit ribosomal RNA
Source: RNAcentral